GUGCCAGCCGCCGCGGUAAUACGGAGGGGGCUAGCGUUGUUCGGAAUUACUGGGCGUAAAGUGCGCGUAGGCGGCGCGUCGGGUCAGGCGUGAAAGCCCCGGGCUCAACCUGGGAACGGCGCUUGAAACUGGCGUGCUCGAGGCCGUGAGAGGGUGGCGGAACUCCCAGUGUAGAGGUGAAAUUCGUAGAUAUUGGGAAGAACACCAGUGGCGAAGGCGGCCACCUGGCACGGUCCUGACGCUGAGGCGCGAAAGCGUGGGGAGCAAACAGGAUUAGAAACCCCAGUAGUCC
RNAcentral lists this ribosomal RNA (292 nucleotides) under uncultured bacterium. RNAcentral's name for it is "partial 16S ribosomal RNA". It matches the Rfam family "Bacterial small subunit ribosomal RNA", at positions 505 to 796 of the family's 1533-position model. The record is from RNAcentral.